RNAcentral lists this unclassified non-coding RNA (238 nucleotides) under Hevea brasiliensis (rubber tree). Lineage: Eukaryota; Viridiplantae; Streptophyta; Magnoliopsida; Malpighiales; Euphorbiaceae. The record is from RNAcentral.
AUCAAUAUUAUCAGCCAUCACAAGCCUUUGAAAACAACAUCCCCAUAUAAUAAUUACUCAUAUUAAUUGCAGGCCCCAUAUGGUGGUCUAUGGACCUCCAAAUGGUCCCCCCAUGCCACUUCCUGUGACAAAUCUCUUUAACUAGACCCAUCGUUGCUCCACUUUUGUCUAAUGCAUAUAAAAGAGCCUCUAUCCAUCUACCUAUUAUUCCAAGAAAAUAAAGCAGCUUGCAUAGAUA